RNAcentral lists this ribosomal RNA (700 nucleotides) under uncultured bacterium. RNAcentral describes it as "bacterial SSU rRNA". It matches the Rfam family "Bacterial small subunit ribosomal RNA", at positions 94 to 828 of the family's 1533-position model. The record is from RNAcentral.
AGUGGCGGACGGGUGAGUAACGCGUAAGAAUCUAACUUCAGGACGGGGACAACAGUGGGAAACGACUGCUAAUACCCGAUGUGCCGCGAGGUGAAACCUAAUUGGCCUGAAGAAGAGCUUGCGUCUGAUUAGCUAGUUGGUGGGGUAAGAGCCUACCAAGGCGACGAUCAGUAGCUGGUCUGAGAGGAUGAGCAGCCACACUGGGACUGAGACACGGCCCAGACUCCUACGGGAGGCAGCAGUGGGGAAUUUUCCGCAAUGGGCGAAAGCCUGACGGAGCAACGCCGCGUGAGGGAGGAAGGUCUUUGGAUUGUAAACCUCUUUUCUCAAGGAAGAAGUUCUGACGGUACUUGAGGAAUCAGCCUCGGCUAACUCCGUGCCAGCAGCCGCGGUAAUACGGGGGAGGCAAGCGUUAUCCGGAAUUAUUGGGCGUAAAGCGUCCGCAGGUGGUCAGCCAAGUCUGCCGUCAAAUCAGGCUGCUUAACGACCUAAAGGCGGUGGAAACUGGCAGACUAGAGAGCAGUAGGGGUAGCAGGAAUUCCCAGUGUAGCGGUGAAAUGCGUAGAGAUUGGGAAGAACAUCGGUGGCGAAAGCGUGCUACUGGGCUGUAUCUGACACUCAGGGACGAAAGCUAGGGGAGCGAAAGGGACUAGAUACCCCUGUAGUCCUAGCCGUAAACGAUGGAUACUAGGCGUGGCUU